Molecule: ribosomal RNA, 253 nt
Filed under: uncultured bacterium
Lineage: Bacteria
Description: partial 16S ribosomal RNA
Rfam family: Bacterial small subunit ribosomal RNA
Source: RNAcentral
UACAGGGGGUGCAAACGUUGCUCGGAAUUACUGGGCGUAAAGCGCGCGUAGGCGGCUUUGUAAGUUAGAGGUGAAAGCCCGGAGCUCAACUCCGGAACUGCCUUUAAAACUGCAUCGCUUGAAUCCAGGAGAGGUGAGUGGAAUUCCGAGUGUAGAGGUGAAAUUCGUAGAUAUUCGGAAGAACACCAGUGGCGAAGGCGGCUCACUGGACUGGUAUUGACGCUGAGGUGCGAAAGCGUGGGGAGCAAACAGG